Molecule: ribosomal RNA, 267 nt
Filed under: uncultured bacterium
Lineage: Bacteria
Description: partial 16S ribosomal RNA
Rfam family: Bacterial small subunit ribosomal RNA
Source: RNAcentral
UGGGGAAUCUUGCGCAAUGGGCGAAAGCCUGACGCAGCAACGCCGCGUGCGGGAUGAAGGCCCUCGGGUCGUAAACCGCUUUCAGCAGGGAUGAAAAUGACAGUACCUGCAGAAGAAGCCCCGGCUAAAUACGUGCCAGCAGCCGCGGUAAUACGUAUGGGGCAAGCGUUAUCCGGAUUUAUUGGGCGUAAAGCGCGCGUAGGCGGCUUGUUAAGUCAGGUGUGAAAUCCGGGGGCUCAACCCGCGGCUUGCACCUGAAACUGGCAG